This 428-nucleotide long non-coding RNA is filed under the name Triticum aestivum (bread wheat). Its description in RNAcentral is "long non-coding RNA (TAES_LNC026943)". Lineage: Eukaryota; Viridiplantae; Streptophyta; Magnoliopsida; Poales; Poaceae. The record is from RNAcentral.
UAAAAUGCAUCACGAUGGUGACGAAACAACGGAGUAGAUGGAGUUGGUUCCCUAACCAAAUCGUAGUAUCAGUCAAUGUUGGUUUAAGCAAAGCGUGUCCUGGAACUUUGCUGACAUAGGUUAAGCGUGUCGGAUAUUUUGCUAUGUUGAUGUGGUGGUGUCUCGGAGGCGCUUUAUACGGUGUCCGUAUGCUGGCGUUAGUACUCUAUGAAACCUGGAACCUCGGACCUCUUUAUGCCUGGUAGUCGUGUUAUAAUCUUUCGGAAACCGGACCGGUUGAGCCAUGAAUUUUGGACGGAACCAUGUAAGUUAUGUUGGCUGUUGUAAAUGCUCUCGGCAUGGCUUGAUGUUGAACUGAAAUGCCCCACGCGAACUGCUGAACUGUUGUGCACAUCUGUGCCUUGCUUGUGCUCUAUAGCAAGUUUUCU